This 303-nucleotide ribosomal RNA is filed under the name Triticum aestivum (bread wheat). Its description in RNAcentral is "partial small subunit ribosomal RNA". The record is from RNAcentral. Lineage: Eukaryota; Viridiplantae; Streptophyta; Magnoliopsida; Poales; Poaceae.
AUGGAACUCCAUCCCCCCCCCCCACCCCAGAAAAAUAACCACAAAAUAUGGGGAGCACAAACACAUUUGUCAUUUUUUUUGAAAGCAAUGUCUUUCACUUUUCCAAAGCACAACUUUGCUUUUCAUUGUUUUAAAGGCACAACUAUAUGUGCUCUUCCUGUUGAAGCACACAGUUAUGUUUCUCACAACUAUGCUUCAUGGAGUAGCAUAUUUGUGCUUUUCACAGGGUGUGCCUCACAGGUGAAAAAAGUACACUCUUUUUCUUUCAAGAAACCUAGGAAAACUCGAGCAAAAUCAGAAUAA